Molecule: non-coding RNA, 167 nt
Filed under: Streptomyces sp.
Lineage: Bacteria; Bacillati; Actinomycetota; Actinomycetes; Kitasatosporales; Streptomycetaceae
Source: RNAcentral
CCACAGCAAGCCACUAGAUGUAUGCUCGUCCUAGCUGCCGACGCAGGGGAAUCCGGUGGAAGUCCGGAGCUGUCCCGCAACGGUGAGCGAUGUACGGGCAUGCCUGCCACGCGCCGGCGGGUCCGUAUGUCGUGAGCCCGAAAACCUGCGGCAGCGAUCGAUGACGU